UUAAUUGAAACCAAAAAGAGGUAUAUUAUUGUUAAUAAUAAAAUUAGGAUAUUUUCCUCAAUUAAA
This 66-nucleotide transfer RNA is filed under the name Idgia oculata. RNAcentral's name for it is "tRNA-Asn". Lineage: Eukaryota; Metazoa; Arthropoda; Insecta; Coleoptera; Prionoceridae. The record is from RNAcentral.